RNAcentral lists this ribosomal RNA (701 nucleotides) under Pseudomonas brenneri. Its description in RNAcentral is "bacterial SSU rRNA". It matches the Rfam family "Bacterial small subunit ribosomal RNA", at positions 77 to 774 of the family's 1533-position model. The record is from RNAcentral. Lineage: Bacteria; Pseudomonadati; Pseudomonadota; Gammaproteobacteria; Pseudomonadales; Pseudomonadaceae.
AGCUUGCUUCUCUUGAGAGCGGCGGACGGGUGAGUAAUGCCUAGGAAUCUGCCUGGUAGUGGGGGAUAACGUUCGGAAACGGACGCUAAUACCGCAUACGUCCUACGGGAGAAAGCAGGGGACCUUCGGGCCUUGCGCUAUCAGAUGAGCCUAGGUCGGAUUAGCUAGUUGGUGGGGUAAUGGCUCACCAAGGCGACGAUCCGUAACUGGUCUGAGAGGAUGAUCAGUCACACUGGAACUGAGACACGGUCCAGACUCCUACGGGAGGCAGCAGUGGGGAAUAUUGGACAAUGGGCGAAAGCCUGAUCCAGCCAUGCCGCGUGUGUGAAGAAGGUCUUCGGAUUGUAAAGCACUUUAAGUUGGGAGGAAGGGCAGUAAAUUAAUACUUUGCUGUUUUGACGUUACCGACAGAAUAAGCACCGGCUAACUCUGUGCCAGCAGCCGCGGUAAUACAGAGGGUGCAAGCGUUAAUCGGAAUUACUGGGCGUAAAGCGCGCGUAGGUGGUUCGUUAAGUUGGAUGUGAAAUCCCCGGGCUCAACCUGGGAACUGCAUUCAAAACUGACGAGCUAGAGUAUGGUAGAGGGUGGUGGAAUUUCCUGUGUAGCGGUGAAAUGCGUAGAUAUAGGAAGGAACACCAGUGGCGAAGGCGACCACCUGGACUGAUACUGACACUGAGGUGCGAAAGCGUGGGGAGCAAACA